GAAAGUGUGAGUGGAGGCCACUGGCGCCCCAUGCAGGAUGUUCCCUAACUAGCAUCGCACCCUGUGCCUCUGGGAUAGGCUCCGGACUGCCGCGACCCUGACUUGGACACGUGGUCAACAAAGGUCUGUGACCAAGUGAUCCGUAGUUAAAUACUUCACAUGGCUUCUAGAUUAAAAACUGCAAAUACACAGACAUGAAACGUGGCGUGACAAUAAGCAGAUGUGCGUAAAGCUGCUGCAUUAAAGCCAAAUGAUGUAUUGUGAUCCCACAAAAUUUUUUUUGCCUUUUUCUGAAGCUAAGAGAGGGAUUUUACAAAAGGUCGGCACACGUGUGAGUGAAACAUUUUUAGCCUUUCUUUUUAAACCGUUUGUGCUCAGUUAAGAAUGAGAGGACUCGCGUAAACUACGCUUAGAUGUUUUCUAAAUGCAUCUUUUGACGACACUGAUUUAAAUGGUGCGGUGGAAAAUGCAGUGGAAAAUACGAGUGGGUGGCUGGGGGGGGUCAAUGGCCCCCCGCACAGUGCUGAGAAAUAGCUGUUGCCACAGGCUGAAGCCGAGGAUGUGGGCAGAGGGAGCACUCGGGGCAACGGAAUUUUACCGGGCCGAUCGAAGUUAUGGGCGAAAACCAAGCGGUGGAACGACCUCCCCCUCCUACUCAGAACUGCUGAAUCCCUGACCGCAUUUAAAAAGGGUCUUAAACCUCACCUCUUCCAGACUCACUUCGCCCAUCAUCUCUUAAGUUCAUGUAAGGUGUAAAUGUUCAUGCUCCAUAGCUUUAAGAUCAUGCCCAGAUAAAUAAAUAUAUACAUACACACA
This 816-nucleotide long non-coding RNA is filed under the name Scleropages formosus (Asian bonytongue). Its description in RNAcentral is "lncRNA (ENSSFOG00015029432.1)". The record is from RNAcentral. Lineage: Eukaryota; Metazoa; Chordata; Actinopteri; Osteoglossiformes; Osteoglossidae.